GACGAACGCUGGCGGCGUGCCUAAUACAUGCAAGUAGAACGCACAGUUUAUACCGUAGCUUGCUACACCAUAGACUGUGAGUUGCGAACGGGUGAGUAACGCGUAGGUAACCUGCCUGGUAGCGGGGGAUAACUAUUGGAAACGAUAGCUAAUACCGCAUAAUAUUAAUUAUUGCAUGAUAAUUAAUUGAAAGGUGCAAUUGCACCACUACCAGAUGGACCUGCGUUGUAUUAGCCAGUAGGUGAGGUAACGGCUCACCUAGGCGACGAUACAUAGCCGACCUGAGAGGGUGAUCGGCCACACUGGGACUGAGACACGGCCCAGACUCCUACGGGAGGCAGCAGUAGGGAAUCUUCGGCAAUGGACGAAAGUCUGACCGAGCAACGCCGCGUGAGUGAAGAAGGGUUUCGGAUCGUAAAGCUCUGUUGUAAGAGAAGAACGGGUGUGAGAGUGGAAAGUUCACACUGUGACGGUAUCUUACCAGAAAGGGACGGCUAACUACGUG
Molecule: ribosomal RNA, 505 nt
Filed under: uncultured bacterium
Lineage: Bacteria
Description: partial 16S ribosomal RNA
Rfam family: Bacterial small subunit ribosomal RNA
Source: RNAcentral